CCAAACUUGGUCAUUUAGAGGAAGUAAAAGUCGUAACAAGGUUUCCGUAGGUGAACCUGCGGAAGGAUCAUUAUUGAAUAUGCUUGAUGGGUUUGUAGCUGGUCCUUUGGGGCAUGUGCACGACCUGUCUUGACUUCUAUUCAUCCACCUGUGCAUACUUUGUAGUCUUAUUUUGGGGGGCAGAUGAAGUUACCGACUCGGUUGAAAAAGCCGGAUAUGGUGAGGACUGUGCUCAACUUCCUCUGGGUGGCAGAUUUCUCCCCUCGCAGGACUAUGUCUUUUAUCACAAACCCAUAUAGUAUGUUGUCAGAAUGUAGUCAAUAGGCCUCUGUGCCUAUAAAACCUUAUACAACUUUCAGCAACGGAUCUCUUGGCUCUCGCAUCGAUGAAGAACGCAGC
RNAcentral lists this unclassified non-coding RNA (399 nucleotides) under uncultured fungus. RNAcentral describes it as "partial contains small subunit ribosomal RNA, internal transcribed spacer 1, and 5.8S ribosomal RNA". The stretch from base 1 to 73 matches the Rfam family "Eukaryotic small subunit ribosomal RNA", at positions 1759 to 1831 of the family's 1831-position model. The record is from RNAcentral. Lineage: Eukaryota; Fungi.